CUCCUUCAAACCCCUCAACUUCCUCAAAUCAACAAGCAAGGCAAGCUAGGGUUCCGUGAUUUUUGGUUUGGGUCUGAGCAUCGGUUGAUCUUGUUCCGACGGGCCUCUCCUCUUCUCGAUUCCUCUUCGAAUCCAGAUUAGUUAUGUCGACGAGGAGAUCACGCCUCCCGAGGACCCGCUCAGCUACUCAGUCGCCUGAGAGGGAGCGUCCAUCUUUCAUCGGGUCGUCUUCUCGGCUCAAUGAUAUGGUCAAGGCUCUGCUAUCUGAUGAUGACCCAGAUCAAGCUCUGCUUUGCAUAGAAAUUGACUCUCUCUUCUUCUUUGUGAAUGCGAUGAUUGAUAUGCUUCUCGUCCGUGGACUUUCCUUCCAUCAAUUUAGACCAACGCUUUCCGCCAAAAUAAAUGCUAUAGAGAAAGCGGGCUCUCUGGAUCUGGCGCAAGCUAUAGCUGGCGACUUGGACCGGCUAGAGUGCGAGUUCCAACGGUUACAAGAGUUGAAGACUGCUGGUACUUCAACGUACAUAGCCGCCCAGAUGGAAUCUUGUUUACAAGUAUGGCACGACAUUCGAGCCUCCGCUGGGCUUGAGAUUCAAGCGCAAUAAAGUCGGGUGGAUCAGAUGAAAGCCGCCCUUGCUGAGAAACAAACAUCUUUGUGUCAACUCAAAUCCUCUAUUACGUUAGGUGAGGCUAAGAUAGAGAGACUCAAAGAGGAGCUCAAGGCAGAGGAGGAGGCCCUAGUUAUCUUGGAGAAGACGAAGGCUGAUUUGGAGCGCUCACAGGUCGUGAUAUCCGGGAAGUUGGGGCUCUCGGAACAGAAGUUAGUCAAGAUCAAAGAAGAAGCUGCGAAAACGUUAUCCCUUACCGAGGAAUCCUUCAAGGUUGAAUUGCAGUGCGAGCUUGAGCGAACUUAUACAGAGGAGUUAACUAGACUUGAGCAGCAAAUCCGUAGUCACAAACUUCAUGUAGAUUGAUCAUAACUCUUGUACCUGCAAACUCAAUUUUUAUUAA
Molecule: long non-coding RNA, 1008 nt
Organism: Asparagus officinalis (garden asparagus)
Lineage: Eukaryota; Viridiplantae; Streptophyta; Magnoliopsida; Asparagales; Asparagaceae
Exons: 3
Source: RefSeq, a predicted model, not a curated record